GACGAGCGCUGGCGGCGUGCCUAAUACAUGCAAGUAGAACGCACAGUUUAUACCGUAGCUUGCUACACCAUAGACUGUGAGUUGCGAACGGGUGAGUAACGCGUAGGUAACCUGCCUGGUAGCGGGGGAUAACUAUUGGAAACGAUAGCUAAUACCGCAUAAUAUUAAUUAUUGCAUGAUAAUUAAUUGAAAGGUGCAAUUGCACCACUACCAGAUGGACCUGCGUUGUAUUAGCUAGUAGGUGAGGUAAAGGCUCACCUAGGCGACGAUACAUAGCCGAACUGAGAGGGUGAUCGGCCAAACUGGGACUGAGACAAGGCCCAGAGUGAUACGGGAGGCAGCAGUAGGGAAUCGUCGGCAAUGGACGAAAGUCUGACCGAGAAACGCCGAGUGAGUGAAGAAGGUUUUCGGAUCGUAAAGCUCUGUUGUAAGAGAAGAACGGGUGUGAGAGUGGAAAGUUCACACUGUGACGGUAACUUACAAGAAAGGGACGGCUAACUACGUG
This 505-nucleotide ribosomal RNA is filed under the name uncultured bacterium. Its description in RNAcentral is "partial 16S ribosomal RNA". It matches the Rfam family "Bacterial small subunit ribosomal RNA", at positions 28 to 507 of the family's 1533-position model. The record is from RNAcentral.